Molecule: long non-coding RNA, 862 nt
Filed under: Marmota monax (woodchuck)
Lineage: Eukaryota; Metazoa; Chordata; Mammalia; Rodentia; Sciuridae
Source: RNAcentral
AGCACCUCAUUAUAUACACAAAUACCAGGAGACUGACCACAAAAGAGUCCUGGACUUAUUCUCCCAAGGGAUGGUUGAGCACAUCCCUGCCACCUCCUGCCACAUACCGAAGUUGCCAAAAACAAUCCUGGUCUUAUUUGGGGUGCCCACCACCCUACUCCUAGCCUAAGGUCUUGGCUCCUGGCUCUUGUGUCCAAUGUUGCCCUCCUUGCUUUCCUAUGGCUUUUCCUAUGCUGGCCAGGCAGGCUUAGAGAAAGUAUGUGGACGUGUGUUUGCAGAUAGACCUUGCUGACAUCACCAAAUCCUACCUGAGGGCCCGUGAUUCCUGCUUCUGGGUGGCUGAGUCUGGGGGCAGGUGGCAGGCAUAGUGGGUGCUCUGCCAGUGGAGGACGUCCCCCAGGGAGGAAGCAACUGCAGCUGUUUCACCUCUCUGUGGCCUUGGAGCACUGAGGUGAAGGACUAGGGAAAGCCCUGGUCAUGAUUGUCCUCCAGUUUGCGAGGGUUCAGGGCUACAGUGAGGUUGACCUUGAUACUAGCUUGGUACAGCUGGCUACUCUGACCCUCUACCUGUGCAUGGGCUUCCAGAAGACAGGAAAGUACUUGUUUGAUAAGAUAUUUAGACUACUGGAUAUUUCUACAAUUCAUUUAACAUACUUCUUCCCAUCUGCUCGGGAAGGAGGCCCAUGAGCUAUUGUCUUGUGUAUCAGUCAGGAUCUGAUUGACAAUCCUGUAGCACAAGCAAACCCUGGCAUUUUGGUGGCACAAAUGAUGAAAACUCAUUGCCGGUGAACAUCUGAGUCCAACAUGUUUGAUGGCGAGGUGUGGAUAUGGGGGCUUCUAUUCCACUCAGUGCUUCUAGGUG